GUAGGGAGCGAGCGUUGUCCGAAUUUACUGGGCGUAAAGCGCGCGUAGGCGGGUUUUUAAGUUGGGGGUGAAAUGCCGAGGCUUAACCUCAGAACUGCCUCCAAAACUGGGAGCCUUGAGGUUUGGAGAGGGAAGUGGAAUUCCAGGUGUAGCGGUGAAAUGCGUAGAUAUCUGGAGGAACACCCGUGGCGAAGGCGGCUUCCUGGCCAUAUCCUGACGCUGAGGUGCGAAAGCUAGGGGAGCGAACGGGAUUAGAUACCCCGGUAGUCCUAGCCGUAAACGAUGGAUACUAGGUGUUAGAGGUAUCGACCCCUCUAGUGCCGGAGCUAACGCAUUAAGUAUCCCGCCUGGGGAGUACGACCGCAAGGUUG
Molecule: ribosomal RNA, 371 nt
Filed under: uncultured bacterium
Lineage: Bacteria
Description: bacterial SSU rRNA
Rfam family: Bacterial small subunit ribosomal RNA
Source: RNAcentral